AGAUGUGAGGGCGAUCUGGCUGUGACAUCUGUCACCCCACUGAUUGUCACAGGUGAUUCGGCUGAUCUGGCUGGCCAGGCAGGGGUCCCCUUCCUCCCUCACUGCUCCAUGUGAGUCCCUCCCGAAGUGGCAUGCUCUUUCGGAGAGGAUGACCUUUGCCAAUAGGGGAGGACUGCUCUUCGGUCCAGGGUAUACAAGUAGCUGUGCUCCCCAGCGAAAACCUCCAAACAGGUUCAUUUGUAGGAGAAUCUAGGGUAGUCAGGCUUCCAAGACUCGAGACACAUCCAAAUGAGGCACUGCGUGUGGCAGUCUGCCUAUCUUA
Molecule: unclassified non-coding RNA, 322 nt
Organism: Mustela putorius furo (domestic ferret)
Lineage: Eukaryota; Metazoa; Chordata; Mammalia; Carnivora; Mustelidae
Gene: 7SK
Rfam family: 7SK RNA
About the family: 7SK was discovered as an abundant small nuclear RNA in the mid-70s but a possible function has only recently been suggested. Two independent studies have found that 7SK RNA binds the CDK9/cyclin T complex (known as elongation factor P-TEFb). P-TEFb activates transcription by phosphorylating the C-terminal domain of RNA polymerase II.
Source: Ensembl